GCAAACGGGUGAGUAUAAUGUGGGGAUCUGCCUUUUGGUUUGGAAUAACACGGGGAAACUUGUGCUAAUACCGAAUAAGCCCUUACGGGGAAAGUUUUAAUGCCGAAAGAUGAGCCCGCACUUGAUUAGCUAGUUGGUAAGGUAAAAGCUUACCAAGGCAACGAUCAAUAGCUGUUCUUAGAGGAAGACCAGCCACAUUGGGACUGAGACACGGCCCAGACUCCUACGGGAGGCAGCAGUGGGGAAUCUUGCACAAUGGGGGAAACCCUGAUGCAGCGAUGCAGCGUGAGUGAAGAAGGCCCUUGGGUUGUAAAACUCUUUCGUCGGGGAAGAAAAUGACUGUACCCGAAUAAGAAGGUCCGGCUAACUUCGUGCCAGCAGCCGCGGUAAUACGAAGGGACCUAGCGUAGUUCGGAAUUACUGGGCUUAAAGAGCUCGUAGGUGGUUAAAAUAGUUGAUGGUGAAAUCCCAAGGCUUAACCUUGGAACUGCCAUCAAAACUUUUUAGCUAGAGUGUGAUAGAGGUAAGUGGAAUUUCUAGUGUAGAGGUGAAAUUCGUAGAUAUUAGAAAGAACACCAAAUGCGAAGGCAACUUACUGGGUCACUACUGACACUGAGGAGCGAAAGCAUGGGUAGCGAAG
This 640-nucleotide ribosomal RNA is filed under the name uncultured Alphaproteobacteria bacterium. RNAcentral describes it as "bacterial SSU rRNA". It matches the Rfam family "Bacterial small subunit ribosomal RNA", at positions 98 to 773 of the family's 1533-position model. Lineage: Bacteria; Pseudomonadati; Pseudomonadota; Alphaproteobacteria. The record is from RNAcentral.